Molecule: ribosomal RNA, 603 nt
Filed under: Triticum aestivum (bread wheat)
Lineage: Eukaryota; Viridiplantae; Streptophyta; Magnoliopsida; Poales; Poaceae
Description: partial small subunit ribosomal RNA
Source: RNAcentral
AUGUGCGGGAGCUCGAGGGCGAGAGGAAGCCGGAGACGGCGCGGGGCAGCGGCCUGCAGGUGGGGAGAGCUGGAGGCACGCUGGCCCAGGCGUGGUGAACACGAGGCGAGCGAGCUGCUCUGUUCGUUACUAAAGAACAGAGGCAGCAGCAGGUUCAUGGCGAUGUACAAGACAGCGAGUCGGCGACACAAGAGGUUCUGGCGACGGGGCAGCGGGAACCGGCCGGAACGGGGCGGAUCCAGUCGGCCGGCGUCGGUUCCGGGCAACGGCGGUGGUCGACAGAGCUCGGGCGCGGAGCUCAGCCAUCCAUGGCGUACUGUCCAUGGUGCACAGAGAGAGAGGUUAGAGAGAGGGGGGAAAACGCAGGCUUCUUUCCAAUCUAUCCGUGCACGUGUGGUAUUGGUUGCUAGACACAAAGGCAUACACAAAUCUUUGCUCGUGCCAUUAUUUAUUCAGGAAGCACCUAGCAGUGUAAUCUCAUGCAUCAAGGACAUGAAAAUAUAUUUUUCUCUCAGAGCACAAUGUCAACCAUAUGAUAUCAUGGCACUCGGCAUAUGCGAGGAAUUGUACUCGGCAUAUACAAGUGCUAUACGGAAGGGGUGA